This 253-nucleotide ribosomal RNA is filed under the name uncultured bacterium. RNAcentral describes it as "partial 16S ribosomal RNA". It matches the Rfam family "Bacterial small subunit ribosomal RNA", at positions 524 to 776 of the family's 1533-position model. The record is from RNAcentral.
UACAGAGGUCCCAAGCGUUGUUCGGAUUCAUUGGGCGUAAAGGGUGCGUAGGUGGCGCUGUAAGUCGGGUGUGAAAUUUCGGAGCUUAACUCCGAAACUGCAUUCGAUACUGCGGUGCUUGAGGACUGGAGAGGAGACUGGAAUUCAUGGUGUAGCAGUGAAAUACGUAGAGAUCAGCAGGAACACCCGUGGCGAAGGCGGCCCCCUGGGCCGUACCUGACGCUGAGGCGCGAAGGCUAGGGGAGCGAACGGG